UUUAUCAUCCAUCAUCCAUGGUUCUUUCUUUCGAAAAUUUUAUUGAACUGGGUUGGAUGCGUUGCUGCGAGAAAAACCAAAAAAUGAAAACGACAAAGCAUAGUUGGUCAAAUGCUUUGCAUUAUAAGAUGAAAAAAAGUUAAAAGAGCAAAAGGAUUGCUGCAGAAUUCAUGGAUUAAAAAUAGAUAUGAGGCUCCCUGAGGCCGCCUCAACACGUGGUCUGGUUUGCCGGCUUUGCUAAUAUGGGUAAUUUUUCAACAAAGGGCAGCUUUUCAUAACCUGGGAACUGGAAAUAUAUGAUGCAGAGCGCCACAUUUCAAUAUGCCGUCAAUUUAGUUGGGCGCUCGAAUCGGAAAACGUGUCGAAGAUGCAUUUGCUGAUCAGCCGCUUUUAUCGUACCGCGGAUGUGCUUUUUGGAAAUGAUUCAACAUGAAAACGGAACUGCCAAGACACAAUUCUGGUUUUACCAUGCAUUUAAUUAAGUGAACCUCUGUUAAAAGAAGUCUGAAAUAUGAACGGCUCCAUUAGCAAGAUUCUAUAUGGAUUUCACGUACUAUCAAGCUAGUCCAAAGUCCGACAUGGCCUGAAGACUUCUCUGGAUUGUAUUGAUUCUACUGCUCCAAUGAUUUGCUUUCCACCAGUCGGAACAGAUGUAGCCAUACAAUGUUAUAAGGAAGGUGCCGCCACGUCCAUAUCUAUUGCCUGAUAUAAAGAUUGAUCAUUACUGUAGGAUACGACACUUGCUUGAGUUCCUUUUGAAGUUUGAAGUUUGGAAAACAUAUUUAAAGGUAGCUUUAACGCAUUUUGGACUCAUAAAUACAUCAGAGAGGAGGUUAUUGUGUUACAGAAUAAAAUGUUGAAAA
Molecule: long non-coding RNA, 863 nt
Organism: Drosophila guanche
Lineage: Eukaryota; Metazoa; Arthropoda; Insecta; Diptera; Drosophilidae
Exons: 12
Source: RefSeq, a predicted model, not a curated record